RNAcentral lists this ribosomal RNA (389 nucleotides) under uncultured bacterium. Its description in RNAcentral is "bacterial SSU rRNA". It matches the Rfam family "Bacterial small subunit ribosomal RNA", at positions 29 to 408 of the family's 1533-position model. The record is from RNAcentral.
AACGAACGCUGGCGGCGCGCCUAAUACAUGCAAGUCGAGCGAGAAGACGUAGCAAUACGUUUGUAAAGCGGCGAACGGGUGAGGAAUACAUGGGUAACCUACCCUCGAGUGGGGAAUAACUAGCCGAAAGGUUAGCUAAUACCGCGUACGCUCCUUGGACUUCGGUUCAGGGAGGAAAGCGAUACCGUGGGUAUCGCGCUCUUGGAUGGGCUCAUGUCCUAUCAGCUUGUUGGNGAGGUAACGGCUCACCAAGGCUUCGACGGGUAGCUGGUCUGAGAGGACGAUCAGCCACACUGGCACUGCGACACGGGCCAGACUCCUACGGGAGGCAGCAGUAAGGAAUAUUGCGCAAUGGGGCAAAGCCUGACGCAGCGACGCCGCGUGGGGGA